CGGUGCUUGCGUCGCCCGGCGUCGGAUGACCGGAUGAUCGGAUUCGCCGAUCGAUGGACGGGUCCGUUGCCGGGCCGCGUCUCCGUCCUGGAGGU
Molecule: non-coding RNA, 95 nt
Organism: Streptomyces sp. MMG1522
Lineage: Bacteria; Bacillati; Actinomycetota; Actinomycetes; Kitasatosporales; Streptomycetaceae
Source: Rfam